UUUCUUCGGAUUGAAGUUUUUGUGACUGAGUGGCGGACGGGUGAGUAACGCGUGGGUAACCUGCCUCAUACAGGGGGAUAACAGUUAGAAAUGACUGCUAAUACCGCAUAAGCGCACAGUGCUGCAUGGCACAGUGUGAAAAACUCCGGUGGUGUGAGAUGGAUCCGCGUCUGAUUAGCCAGUUGGCGGGGUAACGGCCCACCUAGUCUUCGAUGGAUAGGGGUUCUGAGAGGAAGGUCCCCACAUUGGAACUGAGACACGGUCCAAACUCC
This 272-nucleotide ribosomal RNA is filed under the name uncultured Lachnospiraceae bacterium. Its description in RNAcentral is "partial 16S ribosomal RNA". It matches the Rfam family "Bacterial small subunit ribosomal RNA", at positions 75 to 339 of the family's 1533-position model. The record is from RNAcentral. Lineage: Bacteria; Bacillati; Bacillota; Clostridia; Lachnospirales; Lachnospiraceae.